RNAcentral lists this non-coding RNA (29 nucleotides) under Mus musculus (house mouse). The record is from RNAcentral. Lineage: Eukaryota; Metazoa; Chordata; Mammalia; Rodentia; Muridae.
UCCCAGUUGUAGCCGCUUUCUGAGGGUUU